UACGUAGGGGGCAAGCGUUGUCCGGAAUUAUUGGGCGUAAAGCGCGCGCAGGCGGUUCUUUAAGUCUGGUGUUUAAACCCGAGGCUCAACUUCGGGUCGCACUGGAAACUGGGGGGACUUGAGUGCAGAAGAGGAGAGUGGAAUUCCACGUGUAGCGGUGAAAUGCGUAGAUAUGUGGAGGAACACCAGUGGCGAAGGCGACUCUCUGGGCUGUAACUGACGCUGAGGCGCGAAAGCGUGGGGAGCAAACAGG
Molecule: ribosomal RNA, 253 nt
Filed under: uncultured bacterium
Lineage: Bacteria
Description: partial 16S ribosomal RNA
Rfam family: Bacterial small subunit ribosomal RNA
Source: RNAcentral